UCCUGGGAUAAACACUAAAUAUAAAACGGUUUCUCUUUCAGGUGCGUCUGGAGCAGGGAAUCUUGGCUGAGCCGGGUUCUGUUCUCCUCUACAAGCUGUCCAACCUGCUCAAGUUCUACCACCACACCAUCAGUUGUAUCGUGGGCACCAGUGUAGCCUCCCCUGCUAAUGACCAUCGAAGAGAUGCACAUUCUAAGCAAGAAGAUGUUUUUCAACAGUCUCAGUCUCCACGCUAGCAGGCUCAUGGACAAGGUGGAGCUCCCCCCUCCAGAUCUGGGCCCCACCUCCUCUCUGACCCAGACCCUGGCUCUCCUGAGGGAGGUGUUGGCCUCUCAUGACUCCUCUGUUGUU
Oncorhynchus masou masou (cherry salmon) is the source of this 351-nucleotide long non-coding RNA. RefSeq lists it as uncharacterized. The record is from RefSeq and is a predicted model, not a curated record. The transcript has 3 exons. NCBI's taxonomy places the organism in Eukaryota, Metazoa, Chordata, Actinopteri, Salmoniformes, Salmonidae.